UACGGAGGGUGCAAGCGUUGUCCGGAAUCACUGGGCGUAAAGGGCGCGUAGGCGGCUCAUGAAGGCUGUGGUGAAAGUCCGGGGCUCAACCUCGGAUCGGCCGUGGCGACUCGUGGGCUGGAGCACUGUAGAGGCGGGUGGAAUUCCGGGUGUAGCGGUGAAAUGCGCAGAUAUCAGGAGGAACACCAAUGGCGAAGGCAGCUCGCUGGAACGGUACUGACGCUGAGGCGCGAAAGCGUGGGGAGCAAACAGG
RNAcentral lists this ribosomal RNA (253 nucleotides) under uncultured bacterium. RNAcentral's name for it is "partial 16S ribosomal RNA". It matches the Rfam family "Bacterial small subunit ribosomal RNA", at positions 524 to 776 of the family's 1533-position model. The record is from RNAcentral.